Erythranthe guttata (spotted monkey flower) is the source of this 447-nucleotide non-coding RNA. Lineage: Eukaryota; Viridiplantae; Streptophyta; Magnoliopsida; Lamiales; Phrymaceae. The record is from RefSeq and is a predicted model, not a curated record.
AAAUUUUGGUGGGAGAAAGGAAUUGCACAUUGCUAGUAUGUUGUCCAAUGAGCCUUCUCUUCAUGGAUCACAUGAAUGUGAUAUUAAGGUUUUUCCAGACAGUCAAGAAAAUGAUGGUGGGCAUUGGUAUUUUUCUCAGAAGGAAUAGAAGAAAAUUCACGACAAGAUGGCAUUGAUUUGAAGAAAGAGACUUACAUGCGCAAGUCAUACUGCACGCAUUUACCCUGGGAAUGUGGCUACAAGUGUGAGGUUUCUUUCUUGGAUGCCUCAGGUGACUAUUGCGACAACAAUAAUAUUUUGUCACCGUUUCUUCAUUUAUCAGCCCCAUGUCAAGAAUGAUAGGAAGGUAAAGUUGAAGAGACUCCCCGUCUUUGAAGAAUGUCAUACUAACAUCAUAUGAAAUUAUUCACAAAAAGGAUGCAACAGCUGUCCAAAAGAUCAAGCAAA